This is a small nucleolar RNA of Ornithorhynchus anatinus (platypus), 136 nucleotides long. The record is from RefSeq and is a predicted model, not a curated record. NCBI's taxonomy places the organism in Eukaryota, Metazoa, Chordata, Mammalia, Monotremata, Ornithorhynchidae.
CCCCUCUCUUGGUUGCACCUGGAGAGUUUCCAGUACUCUCCCACUUUCGACUAUGGGAGAGAGUCAAGCAGAGGCCUACCCAUUCCAUUCUUAGCUUGGGCAGUGGCUAGUGAGUGGAAGGCAAUCUGCUACAAGU